This 179-nucleotide non-coding RNA is filed under the name Antarctobacter albus. RNAcentral also lists the same sequence under 1 other name. The record is from RNAcentral. Lineage: Bacteria; Pseudomonadati; Pseudomonadota; Alphaproteobacteria; Rhodobacterales; Roseobacteraceae.
CGCAUUCUGCGACCGUCAGGUGCCCCGUGAGGGGAGAAUCGGGAAGCCGGUGCAAGACCGGCGCGGGCCCGCCGCUGUAAGGGGGAUGGAGCGGACAGAUGCCACUGGGGGCAGCCCCGGGAAGGCGUCCGCCCCGGCAGACCCCAAGCCAGAAGACCGGCCUGACGACAUGGACCGGG